UGUAUAAUGGGUCAGCGACUUAUAUUCUGUAGCAAGGUUAACCGUAUAGGGGAGCCGAAGGGAAACCGAGUCUUAACUGGGCGUUAAGUUGCAGGGUAUAGACCCGAAACCCGGUGAUCUAGCCAUGGGCAGGUUGAAGGUUGGGUAACACUAACUGGAGGACCGAACCGACUAAUGUUGAAAAAUUAGCGGAUGACUUGUGGCUGGGGGUGAAAGGCCAAUCAAACCGGGAGAUAGCUGGUUCUCCCCGAAAGCUAUUUAGGUAGCGCCUCGUGAACUCAUCUUCGGGGGUAGAGCACUGUUUCGGCUAGGGGGUCAUCCCGACUUACCAACCCGAUGCAAACUGCGAAUACCGAAGAAUGUUAUCACGGGAGACACACGGCGGGUGCUAACGUCCGUCGUGAAGAGGGAAACAACCCAGACCGCCAGCUAAGGUCCCAAAGUCACAGUUAAGUGGGAAACGAUGUGGGAAGGCUCAGACAGCCAGGAUGUUGGCUUAGAAGCAGCCAUCAUUUAAAGAAAGCGUAAUAGCUCACUGGUCGAGUCGGCCUGCGCGGAAGAUGUAACGGGGCUAAACUGUGCACCGAAGCUGCGGCAGCGACGCUUAUGCGUUGUUGGGUAGGGGAGCGUUCUGUAAGCCUGCGAAGGUGUCCUGUGAGGGAUGCUGGAGGUAUCAGAAGUGCGAAUGCUGACAUAAGUAACGAUAAUGCGGGUGAAAAGCCCGCUCGCCGGAAGACCAAGGGUUCCUGUCCAACGUUAAUCGGGGCAGGGUGAGUCGACCCCUAAGGCGAGGCCGAAAGGCGUAGUCGAUGGGAAACGGGUUAAUAUUCCCGUACUUGGUGUUACUGCGAAGGGGGGACGGAGAAGGCUAUGUUGGCCGGGCGACGGUUGUCCCGGUUUAAGCGUGUAGGCUGGUUUUCCAGGCAAAUCCGGAAAAUCAAGGCUGAGGCGUGAUGACGAGGCACUACGGUGCUGAAGCAACAAAUGCCCUGCUUCCAGGAAAAGCCUCUAAGCAUCAGGUAACAUCAAAUCGUACCCCAAACCGACACAGGUGGUCAGGUAGAGAAUACCAAGGCGCUUGAGAGAACUCGGGUGAAGGAACUAGGCAAAAUGGUGCCGUAACUUCGGGAGAAGGCACGCUGACACGUAGGUGAAGUGAUUUACUCA
This 1167-nucleotide ribosomal RNA is filed under the name Salmonella enterica subsp. enterica serovar Kentucky. Its description in RNAcentral is "partial 23S ribosomal RNA". It matches the Rfam family "Bacterial large subunit ribosomal RNA", at positions 609 to 1773 of the family's 2925-position model. The record is from RNAcentral. Lineage: Bacteria; Pseudomonadati; Pseudomonadota; Gammaproteobacteria; Enterobacterales; Enterobacteriaceae.